AGGUCUAACACUGGAUGGCUGUGAUUUCUUUUUCUACAAUAUUUAUAUUAUUAUUGCAAAACUUAUUCCUGUAUUUUCUUUUGAAAUUGCAAUUGCUGCUUGUAGAACCACUUUUACUAUUUCAAUUAUUGAUCUCUAAAUUAUUGCUGCUGUUUUUGCAUCAUUUUUGUCAUACUCUUCACAAUCUGAAGUGCUACAGGCUAUUGUGGUUGCUAAGUUUGAGCAUUUUCAGUGACCAUCCUGUCACCCAUUUGCUAGUCAUCAUUAUCAACUUGCUAGUUUGAAGAUUCAUCAAUUUGAGAGUGAUCCACAAUGUUGGUAAUCUUCCUAACAUAGUAAGAUGCCAUUUCCUAUAUAUAUUGGGAUAAUAAUAAAGUUCAAUUACAAGAUCAUGAAUG
This 398-nucleotide long non-coding RNA is filed under the name Elaeis guineensis (African oil palm). RNAcentral describes it as "long non-coding RNA (EGUI_LNC034579)". The record is from RNAcentral. Lineage: Eukaryota; Viridiplantae; Streptophyta; Magnoliopsida; Arecales; Arecaceae.